RNAcentral lists this unclassified non-coding RNA (520 nucleotides) under uncultured Glomus. RNAcentral describes it as "SSU rRNA". It matches the Rfam family "Eukaryotic small subunit ribosomal RNA", at positions 569 to 1092 of the family's 1831-position model. The record is from RNAcentral. Lineage: Eukaryota; Fungi; Glomeromycota; Glomeromycetes; Glomerales; Glomeraceae.
AGCAGCCGCGGUAAUUCCAGCUCCAAUAGCGUAUAUUAAAGUUGUUGCAGUUAAAAAGCUCGUAGUUGAAUUUCGGGAUUAAUAUGUUGGUCGUGCCUUGGUACGUACUGGCAUUAUUGAUUCCUACCUUCUGAAGAACCUCGAUGUCAUUAAUUUGGUGUCUUGGGAAAUCGGGACCGUUACUUUGAAAAAAUUAGAGUGUUUAAAGCAGGCUCGCGCUUGAAUACAUUAGCAUGGAAUAAUGAAAUAGGACGUUUGAUUCUAUUUUGUUGGUUUCUAGGAUCGACGUAAUGAUUAAUAGGGAUAGUUGGGGGCAUUAGUAUUCAAUUGUCAGAGGUGAAAUUCUUGGAUUUAUUGAAGACUGACUACUGCGAAAGCAUUUGCCAAGGAUGUUUUCAUUAAUCAAGAACGAAAGUUAGGGGAUCGAAGACGAUCAGAUACCGUCGUAGUCUUAACCAUAAACUAUGCCGACUAGGGAUCGGAUGAUGUUAAUUUUUAAUGACUCAUUCGGCGCCUUACG